Molecule: small RNA, 246 nt
Filed under: Pontibacillus halophilus JSM 076056 = DSM 19796
Lineage: Bacteria; Bacillati; Bacillota; Bacilli; Caryophanales; Bacillaceae
Description: BsrG
Rfam family: BsrG
About the family: bsrE, bsrG and bsrH pair through intermolecular interactions with antisense sRNAs. SR4 interaction with the 3'UTR of bsrG RNA promotes bsrG degradation and inhibits its translation. SR5 also overlaps bsrG from nucleotide 163 to 52 (Rfam overlap check).
Source: Rfam by way of RNAcentral
AAUAGCUCGGUCAUCUCAAGGGUGGUCGGCAUUACACCCCGAGGAAGGGGGUGAUGCCUUUGACGGUUUUCGAAUCCUUAAUGUUCGCCAUCGCGUUCGCAGGAUUGAUCGUCUCCAUUUUGUCUCAUAACGACAAAUAAUCCACCCUUGAGUUAGCGGCUCACGGUGGAUUAUAGUUACGUCUAUUUGUGUGCCGACCUCUUUAAGAGACCGACUAUUGGGGCCGUUGGUGUUGCAUCACCAGCG